RNAcentral lists this ribosomal RNA (253 nucleotides) under uncultured bacterium. RNAcentral describes it as "partial 16S ribosomal RNA". It matches the Rfam family "Bacterial small subunit ribosomal RNA", at positions 524 to 776 of the family's 1533-position model. The record is from RNAcentral.
UACAGAGGGGGCAAGCGUUAUUCGGAAUUAUUGGGCGUAAAGAGCUCGUAGGCGGCUUGUCGCGUCGGAUGUGAAAGCCCGGGGCUCAACUCCGGGCCUGCAGCCGAUACGGGCAGACUAGAGUUCGGCAGGGGAGACUGGAAUUCCUGGUGUAGCGGUGAAAUGCGCAGAUAUCAGGAGGAACACCGGUGGCGAAGGCGGGUCUCUGGGCCGAUAUUGACGCUGAGGAGCGAAAGCGUGGGGAGCAAACAGG